Molecule: ribosomal RNA, 265 nt
Filed under: uncultured archaeon
Lineage: Archaea
Description: partial 16S ribosomal RNA
Rfam family: Archaeal small subunit ribosomal RNA
Source: RNAcentral
ACACGACUACAUUAGAUACCCGCGUAGUCCUAGCCGUAAACGAUACUCGCUAGGUGUCGGCCACGGUGCGACCGUUGUCGGUGCCGUAGGGAAGCCGUGAAGCGAGCCACCUGGGAAGUACGGCCGCAAGGCUGAAACUUAAAGGAAUUGGCGGGGGAGCACAACAACGGGUGGAGCUUGCGGUUUAAUUGGAUUCAACGCCGGAAAUCUUACCGGGACCGACAGCAACAUGAAGGCCAAGCUGAAGACUUUGCCGGAUUAGCCG